UCCGGUUUGUCACCGGCAGUCUGAAGUGAGUCCCCAACUUAAUGCUGGCAACACUUCACGGGGGUUGCGCUCGUUGCGGGACUUAACCCAACAUCUCACGACACGAGCUGACGACAACCAUGCACCACCUGUAUACCGACCACAAGGGGGGCCACAUCUCUGCAGCUUUCCGGUAUAUGUCAAACCCAGGUAAGGUUCUGCGCGUUGCUUCGAAUUAAACCACAUGCUCCACCUCUUGUGCGGGCCCCCGUCAAUUCCUUUGAGUUUUAGCCUUGCGGCCGUACUCCCCAGGCGGACCACUUAUCGCGUUAGCUGCGACGCGGAGGGGGUCGAUACCCCCCACAUCUAGUGGUCAUCGUUUACGGCGUGGACUAC
RNAcentral lists this unclassified non-coding RNA (375 nucleotides) under uncultured bacterium. RNAcentral describes it as "contains 16S-23S intergenic spacer region". The record is from RNAcentral.